CUCAAACAUAGAGCAGUAGACCGAUGCAGUUAAAAAUACAAGUGUGGCAGAGAAAUCUGAGGUAAACAAAAGUCGGGAUUACCGAACAGAAAAACUACAAACUGUUCAAAAACAGGCGAAAUGGACAAACUGCCCAACAAAAUGGCCGCCGUCAUGAAGGAGGGAGGCAGAGUUGAGCGAAAGAGGGAGGUAAGGAUAUUGGCGCUUGAGUGUAUUGGAGAUAUACUCGAGCCACAGCCACGGUGGCAUGGGAAUAAAAGACUUUACACCUCUAAUAAGGUUACAAAGGGUAGGCUAAUAAAUAGAAACGAAAAAACACUGGGGAAAGUGUGAG
This is a non-coding RNA of Pelobates cultripes (western spadefoot toad), 334 nucleotides long. The record is from the annotation of a GenBank genome assembly. Lineage: Eukaryota; Metazoa; Chordata; Amphibia; Anura; Pelobatidae.